Molecule: long non-coding RNA, 12262 nt
Organism: Parus major (Great Tit)
Lineage: Eukaryota; Metazoa; Chordata; Aves; Passeriformes; Paridae
Exons: 3
Source: RefSeq, a predicted model, not a curated record
UUUAACAGAUGAAGAACAAGGAGUAUGAAGAGUUGUGUCCACAGAAGAACAAAGAACAAGUCAGCAAGAAAGCAAAGGAGACAGCCAGAGGCAAACUUCCUUAGUGAGAGAAGUCUUAGGAUAAAGCCUGACAUGGUUCAGCUGCAAAAGAUAUGCUCUACUGUGCUGAGAAGAAAGAACAAACUUCUAUGAGAAAUGAGGUGAUUUUGAUCUGUAUUGAGCUUGAUCUAUUAAAUACAGUGCCAAAUUCAGGUCAGACUAUGGAGAAAAUAUCCUCAUAUCCUUAGAAAUUAAUAAUCUUGCCUCUUAGAGACAGAUUAAUAUUGAGAAGUAGAAGAAAGACAUUAGCACAAAAUUUGAAGGAAGGACAUGGAGUUUGCUUUUCCUGAAAGCACUAUCUUCCUUUUUUCAAUUAAGAACAAACAUCAAGAAGGCUGUUGAUUACCUGUGGUUUUUAGUUCUGAAGCUUUAGACAGCAAAGAAAGAUUUACUUUGCUGCAUGGUUAUAGUUCCAAGACUUGGUGGCAGACCAGUGAAUUAAAAAUAUUUAUUCUAAAUUAACUGAACCAUUUCCAGUAUUGUGCACUUAGCUGUAAAGCUCUGAGGUAAAAUUAACAGUAAAAAAGAUAAGUUAUCUGAUGACUAUGGGAAUGCAUCAGGGGUGUGCAACUUCCCUGUCCUUGCUGGUUUGUUUCUUGAGUAAUCAUUUUCUUCUCCCUCUGCCAUGCUUGGUGAUUUAGGCUCUGGUAACAGUGUGAUUGCCACACUGCAGCCCUCAGCAAAGCCACGCAGGGUCCCAUGUGAGAAUUUGGAUCAGGAGGGUCCUGCUGCUGUUGUUACAAUCAACCACCCAGCAACUGCUGGGGCUUUGGCUCUGCUGGGCUCUGAUGUCAACACAGUCCCUGCACAAGGUGCCUUCUGCUGGUGAGAUCAACACGAUGUCAAAACCUUUCUUUGCAGUUAGAGAUCAAAUAGAGCAGUUUAGCUCAAGAUUAGCGCUGGCUUCCUACAGUCUUCUGGAUGAAAAUGGGUAUUUUGGCUUAUUCCCCGCAGCAGCUGACUAACCACAAAUAAAGCCUUGCCAGUGGCCCGUGCUCUAAUCCAUGGCUCGGUGACCAGAGCUCUCUGUGAUUGUGUGUGUGUGCUCAUGUCUGUGAAAUGAGGAGCACAGAGUUUCAUUUCUCUCUACCUUGGGUCUCCAUCACUAGGGAACAGAUAACAUUCCUUUUGCUACUCUGAUAGAAAUGCCACUCAUUUUUAGGCUGAUACCCUAAAGGCACCCAUACCUUGACUUUAUAAUUACAUAUGGCUAAAGGCAGCGUUAAAAUCUCGUGUUCUCUCUCUAAUUCUUGCAAGUUCUUCUGCGGAGGAAGUUUUUAAGGAAGAAAAAAGUAAUUCAGCUUAUCUCUUUUUGUCUUUUCUUUACAGACAUUUCCAACAAUGGAAAGUUUCACAAGAGGUACACCCACAAGAGAGCAAGAAGGAAGGAGAAUAUUCCAAAUACAACUUUUGCAAGCAAAAAAGAGAACUAAGCGAGUCAUUUGUAAUGUUACGUACAAAGGAUUCUGGGGCUGUGAUCUUUAGCUUUUGCCCUGAAUUUAAUACUGAAGAUCACUCAACCAUGAUGAAACCAGCUGGAUGAAAUUCCUCUCCUGCAAGACAUGAAGGCCAGUGACGAGCUUCUGAAGGUUCUCGAGAUCAUGCUGUCUGCAUAUCUUAUACCUACAUAUCUGCCCCUAACCUGACUCCAAACUAUCUGCAGGCUUGAUGGGGCUCUGAGCAGCCUGGUCUGGUGGAAGGUCCCUGCCCAUGGCAUGGGGGUUACAAGCAGAUGGUCUUUUCCAAUGACCAUUCUAUGAUUCUGUCAAACCUUUGGGUCAGAUUCUGCCAGAUGUCAGCUAAAUCCGAGUUCCAGCUGAAGAGAAGGAACAACAUUGAUUUUAAUGUUUAUUAGAGCACAGGAAGUGUGCUCAGAAAAGAGACAGCAAUAGACUGGAGCAGAGUUCAAAUCUCUCAAAAUACAGCCAAAUCCAAGUGCUCAGCACACUGUUGUAGAAAGCCAAGCUCCACUUUACAGUGCUUGACUUUAUUUAAAAAUGCAAAUGGCUGCAGCCCCCCAUCCAUCUGAUCUGCCAGAGAAGAGGAGUUUGAGGAGGUACAGCAGAGCACACAAGAGUGCUUUCAGUACAUCUUGUUAUGCUGCAGCAGAAAACUCCAAAAUGAAGCCUGAAGACUUAAUGUAUCAAUGAACACUAAUUUUGCCUUUCACUGAAGGUACAGAAGAAGCUAUAAACACUUCUAUAAACCCUGUAGAGAGUCCCUGCACAGUUGUUUGCAGACACUGUCUCCCCAGAUGAUUAACAAACAGCAGUAAUGGGUCUGUAUUUGAGCACAACGCUGCUGGAGUUAAUAUGCAGAUCCUUCCUUGUUUGGGAAAGGCAUUUUCUAGAUGUUUGAGACUGGGCUGGUUAAUCAUCAAAACUGGAGUCACUCAGGCAAGAGGUACUUCAGAGAUGAGACAGCAGGAAAAAAAAAAAAGGCUGCUCUGUUUGCUAAAGGUGACAGAUUUGACAUUUUGUUUCUUCUGGAAGACAGGUGCUUCAUUUGUGUUGACAUCAGGGAGUAUGGUCAUAUAAGAUUGUGUAGACUAUUUUAUUGAUACUGAAUACAGGCAAAAAUUUGUGGGGUUUUAUUAUUGUAUUUUUUAACAAUCACAUUUUGCAAGACAUUGUCUAUGGACAGAAAGAAACACUGCAUAUAGCAACUCUUAACAAUUAACCAGAAUUCUUGCACCAACAGUGCAACAGGGCACAAAAUCUUCUCCUCUUGUUAUAUCCAGUUUGGAUUUUCCACACUUGAUUUGGAUUUCUGCCAGCAGAAGCACUGGGCCAACACCAUUUUCUUUCAACCUUUCCUACUAAAAUUGCAAGACACAAAUUUCUGUCAAAGAGCAUUUGCUGGCCUGGAGAGGUGAUGUAUUCUGGUGUUUGUGAAACGCUGUGAAGAUGCAGAACGCUUCAGGCCUGCUGCCUGCUCUGAAGGAGGACCAGAACAGGUGGGGAUGGACACUCAGAGCUCAGGGAGGAGGAAAGGUCUGUUUGCUUGCACAGGAGGCAGUGCUGAGGUGUGGUGAGUUGAAGGGAAGAGCUCAAGGGCAGGGUGCUGAGGCGUUUGGGAGAGCAGAGCUGCUGUCAGCCCCCACUCCAGAUUUGAAUGCAUUUGUUACCGUGACGAGGCUAACACUUUCUCUUUUGUGCUAACUUUGGUUCAUUGCAGUGCACAUCCUCCCCCUCUCCUUCUUGAGCAUCUGCUGAGGUCACAUCUCCCCCCUGCUCCCCUUGCCUCCGCGUUUUGGGGAUGAACACUCAUUAUUGCUUUCAGCGCCCAGCAGGUGCCCAGCCUCUCCCCCAGGACAGGGACACAUGGCAUUGCUGUGACAGAGUGGCACUUACACCGGGGACCAGGACACUGGCAAUCCCAGCACAAAAAGAGAGCUGAAGAAGCAUCCACACUGUGCAUUCUGAGAGGCUUAAGCUGUGCCCAGGCAGCAAGGCCAGCUCAGGACACCGCAGUCCUUCCCUGGGCUGGGGAGGGAGGGACUGGCUAUGUGCUCAGGGUCUGCAGCAUAUCCACAUGGCUUUGCUGCCACUGGACCCUACUCAGCACCACCCCAGGGGGAGGAGGACAUUGGAUCAAGAACUACACACGGUUGCUGGGCUACAUCCUAUUUUGUCCUCCAAAUUCAGGACAAAGGGACAGAAAUUAAGUGAAAGUCAGAAGAUGCUGCACGUCCAAUGGAACAACUGUUAGUAUUUUUAAUCUGCUACAAGUUCUGAUCUGCUGGACACUGGGCCACCAGCCUUUCCCUGCUGCUUCAUAUUUCAGAUGCCUUAUGUAAGCCAUUCAGAUUCCUUCCAGUACCUGCUUUGGCACCCUUGCAGCAGGUUUUUACUCUGUUGGUGUAGGCACCUCAGCCUCAGUUCAGUGACAACAGAGGAAUUGCUGUCCUGCACAUCAUUGCUUGGCUUGUACUUGUCAUGGUCUGGAUGUACCACCUCCAGACAGGGAUGGGGAGCAUGCUGGUGAAUCCUGCCCUGACAACAAAGAGAGCAGGAAGAAUGUCUCCAACAGAAAAUUCCAGACUAAAUCUAAAUUAAAUCCUUCUUUGGCCUUCCUAAGCCCUAAGUAGCCCUUGCUGAAGCUUUUAUUUUUCAGCUUAACUCUUGAAGUAUCUUACACAUUCUGUACCCAGGGAAUAUCUGCUAAUAAGGUCUGAGCAUACACUUGCAAUUUCUUUCAAAGCUAACUAACACUAACCUAUCCCUUCAGGACUCCACCUUAAUUACUAUAACUUUACUCCUACUCCUGGUUUAUAUAUUGCUGCUCUGUGUUCUAGAUUGAUUCUUUUCAGAUGGAGCAGGUUCUGGGAUUUGGGGGAGUGUAGAUCAUCCGUGAGACAGGAAGAGGGGAGAAGGAGCAAGAAAUGGUCAAACAAGUUAGAAAAUAUCUCCAGUCUAGCAGCCCCAAAAUUUGCACAACAAAGGAAUAGAAAUGAAGACAAAAAAAAAAAAAUUGGCACCUCAGAAUUUAGGGGCUGCAGAGAACGAUCCAGCUGAUUUAUUUUAUGCAAGAAAAUUUCCCUAAAAUAUACCAAUUCAGAUGAAGUGAAACAAUGCAUGUGAACUGACUUAGAUUAACAAUACAGAGAGAAAAAAGUGAGUGCAGCAGUUUUUAUGUAUUAACUUUCAUGUACACAUUUUUAAAACAACAUAUUUCAGUGCAGGCAUGCCAGUUGCAGGGGUAUAUUUUCAAGCUGAAAAGACUGGACCCUUCAUGCUGAGACAGGAAUUUUUACUGACAAAUUGACCUAGGAGUGAUAUUUUAACAGAGAAAAGUUUAUAAUGGAAAAUAAUCCAAAGCUGAAGAAAACCAUUUUUUUUGAAAUAUCCAUUUUUACUUCCUCUAAACUGAUUUUCUCCAACACUUUUAUUUUCUAUUUCUGCCAUUAAAUCCCAAAGUCAGGGUUUUACUGUGCUUCAGCCCUUCAGGCUGUGCUGUUCUGACUCCUCAGCACUCCAAGGGCCCUGCAGGAAUUAAGUGCCUCUCACAAUAGGACAUUUCUCACAAUAGGAAAUUUCCAGGGUGAAGGUUUAAUUUGGUUUUGGACUGUGUGACUAAGUGGAUGAAAAAGCAAACAAGAACUUCCUCAUGCCUCUCCAUCAGUUCUGCUAAUGGGAGCUCUAAGAGUAAACGAGUUGAUUUGCUGGGUUAUGGGUGGGAAAUGAACUGGAGCAAUCCUCCACCCACCACAUGUGCAGCCCAAAGCAAUUUAGCCACCUAGGAAAUCAGGAAAACUGGGAUGUGCUGCUGGUCCAGGGCAGCCAUGUGCUGUUAUCCUCUCCAGGUAGGAAGGCAAUGCCAUGAAAGCUCAGGUCAGUGGAACUCCAUGGCACCACACUCGUGUUAGAAGAGCUUUGCAGUGAACACCAGAGUGUUUCUGGGUUUAGACAGAUGAGUUGGUCAUGGAUUUCUGGUGCAGCAUAUUCAAUUGAUCAUUUGUUGAACAUACACAGAGCAACAGUGAGCUACUUCAGCAACUCAGCAUCCCACAUAAUUUCCCUUUCCCUUCUGGGGAGUCCUUCAGGAAUCAUUCUGUAUGGACCUGUCCAGUAGUAGCCCCCCAAAUUCUCCCCCUGGAUCACAGCAGAAGAUGCCCAGAGCCUGUGUUUUGCUGUCAGCUCUGCAGUCCCAGGCACAGGAAAAGGGACACCAGUUCUUUCCUAAAAACAGGGAUGGAUUGGGGAGUGUGUUGCUAUCCCACUCAGCUUCCUCACAACACCCACCUGAAGCAGGUAAACACCUUUUUUUUAAUAGAGAUGUGUUAUCUGGUGGAUGUGGCCAUCCCAGAGGCACAUCCAGGCUGGGCUGUCCUGCUGCACAGAACGCAGGGCAGAGCAGGGAUGCAGGAUGUGACUCCCAAAUCUGUGUAACCACUUUGGUGCAUGCCAUGCCCUGCCCACCUUGGGGACCAGCUUGGGAACCAGCUUUUCCUUGGGGAUCCCAACCAAUGCACCCCUGUCUGGGGCACACAUUCCCUUAGACAGUGAGCAGCAGGGACAGGAGCACUGUGUGAAUGUUCUGCUUUUAGUCUUCUUUGUCAGCAAAACUGUACUUCUGUCCUGGGAAUACCCCAGCAAUGCAUAGCUUCUGCUGAUGAGCUAGGAUUAGAAGGACUUUACAUAAGGCUGUUUGAUUAAGUGGCUAUUAUCAACUGAAAACUUGGUGCUUCCCAUUAAGUACUCUCAAACCUGUGUCCUCAUUUUACUUAUUUUGUGCUUGUAUUAUGCUUCAAAAGAGGCAGCCUGCCCUUUUUGCCUCAUCCAGGCCCUUUAGCCAACACUAAUAAGGUGUUCUGUCUUGUUCAGUGCUAGUUUAAGGAAUGCAAUGCCCUGAUGGAGCCCUUCCUUAAAGGUGUUUCUCUAAAAUCAGCACAUCACCCUGUACUUUGCUGUGGAAAUGGGCCCCAACCCUGUGAACUUUCUGCUCCUGACCAGAUCCUUCAGCACCUCUCCCUGGAGGCAGCUCUCUCCUUCCAGCAGAUCAAAGCCUGCAUCACUGACAAAGGACUAAAACAAUAAGGCUCUCACCUUUUGUCUUUGUUUCUAUUGCUGUGCCAGUGCAAUUUGAUUUCCCCUUUUGCAGCAUCUGUGCUCAGGCUGCAGUGAUUUCCCAUAAUAGUCCAAUAUACUUUUCAUGAUCCAUGUUCAAUUUAUAUCCACACCCCACUUUAAUCCUUCUGUCUAGAUCAGUUAUUUCAUACUUUCGUACAUCAAAUUGCUUUCACCAUCUGUUGGCCCAGUUGCCCUACAUAAGCCAAACCCUCUGAAGGUAUAAUUGCAAUAUUGUUCAUUAUUUGCUCAUUCCCCUUCCUCCCAAUAUACAUAAUGACAGCAAAAUGAAGAAAUAAUUUAAAUCUAAUUUAAAUUCCUUUCAGGUUUUUUACACUGUGCUGAUCAAAAUAGUAGCUAGGGUCUUCAAAAGAAGAAGCCAUCCAUCUCAGAAGAGCCUUGAUGCCCUUGGAUAGCUAUCUGUGAAAACAAGUGAAUUUUUGUAGGACUGGAGCACCACAUAGCAGCAUUUAACUAAGCUGACAGCAAAUGCUAUCAGCACAUCAGCAUGCUGUUAAAUCAUUGCACAGAAGAAUUCCAAUCUGGUUAAACAGGAUCUGAUUUUAUACUGCCACUUCCAUGAAAACAUUAUUUCUCUUUAUUUUCAUCUCUAUUUCAGCCAGAGCUCGUUGUGCUGGGGCUGUGCACUGUGCAUCGUGCUUGGGCAGUUUUUCAGGCAUUCACAGAGAAAACUUGUAAGCACCAAGCCUCUUCCCCAGGGAUAACUAUUCCUUGAGCUUUGAUUUAACUUUUCCUACAGUCAGGAGGCCACCCACAGAGCUCCAGUUCUGCCUGACCUGCUUCAUUUCUGCCUCGGCGUUAACAGCGAGGGCACAAAGGGGCAUCAUUCCCUGGCAAGAUCCAAAGGUUAAUUCAGACUUGGGUUUGCAUUUACCUUUAGGACUUCCAGUGGGGAGGAAACGGCUGCAGAGCUGGGGGAAGCACCCCUGCCCAGCAUCAGAGGCACACACUCAGUGCAAUACAUUCCACCAGCACCCAGCUCCUGCAGGAGUAACUUCAGUGGAGAUAAAUAAGACAUGUAAUUUCUUGUCAGGCUGUUGCAUUUCCCACCGCUCGUUUUAACAAUUACACUCUGUGACUUUUUUUUAUUAAACAACCGAAAAGAAUAGAUUUGUGUAACCCAGGAAGAAAAAUUGCCUGGAGAAAUGAAACAUACCCAGACUUAAUUUUCUCUCCUGCGCUUUUUGAGGUGUUUGAAAUGAAUGUGUUUUCAGUACAGCAGUCAGUAACAAGAGCUGUGGUUUAGGCACUUCUUUGCCACGCUCACCUCUUCACCAGCCAAUUUCAUUACAGACAAACCCAGGCAGAAUUAAAGGGCCCAUCCAAGCCAUGCACAACUUUCUCCUCCUGAAACCAAUGGAAACACUGCCACAGUUUACAACAGGGAUUGCCAAAAUCCCACCAUUAUUUCAUAUGCUGCUUUCUCCAAGCCUCAUUUUUAAAGCAAUUAAUAGGAGGAGUGAUUGACCUUUAGCAAGCCAUAUCCCAGCAGGAUUUGUAAUCAAUGCUUCUUCCGAGUGCUUCUUUGCACUGACAUCUGUACCAAUUAGCGGCUUCUCCUACAGAAAGGUUACACAAACACCAUUUUAUUUCUUAUUAUUAAUUAUUUUUCACACAGGGCCAAGUUUUAAACAGCUGCCUGGACCUAAUGUCUUCAAUAUUGGAUUUGCUCUUGUAAGAAGCAGGCUGCUUUUAAGACUGACCUAGAAAAUAGAUAUUCGAGGAGCAGGCAUGCUAAAAGAGCUGAAGCACUUCAUUUUGCUUUCAAGACCAGAAGGUUGCACAUAAAACACACUCUAAUACUCAUGACUACAACUUCAAUGCUUUUUUAGACAGUGAUGAUUCUGAACUCAAGACCAGCCUGGUGUAAACAGAUAAUAGGAUCAAUCUGAAACCAUCUUUCUUUGUUCAACUGGUGCACCUUUGAAACAAAAAUAAAAUGUAGAAGAAUAAAAUUGAACUUUGAAGACCAAAUAGAGAAGAUACUGAGACAUCAACCUUUCCUCUAGAAAUAUUUCUGUUUGAUUCCAAUUCAAGAAAAUGUAACAUGAUAUCAUGGUCUCACCCUUAUCAGGAUUGGGAGGAGAAUGGAAAAAAGGUAAAGCUCGUGGGUUGAGGAAAGAACAGUUCAAUAAGUGGAAGAAAAUAAAAUAUACUGAUAAUACUAUCCACAAUAUUAACAAUAAUAAUUGUAAUGAAUGUGUUAAGAAUGGGGAAGAUUGGGAAAGGAGAAUGGUUGGGGAAUAAUGGCUUUUGUUCCACACGAUGAGCGAAUCAUUAAAAUGCAUCUCACUGUACCUUGAAUAAGUCUCUCGUGAGGGACAGAAUACAAUCCCCUUGAAUCAGCUACAAGAGUUUUGUUGGGUGUAUUUUUUUUUCCAGGUAGAACAAGCUGAAUCUUCCCUAGUAUCGUUAUUUUGGUUGGAAUUGGUGCCUGGCAGAACAGGUCCCUCCCUCAUGGCUGGGGCAGGAUGGGUCAAGGCUUCCACAGAGGAGACUGCUGCUUCAAAAAUCAAGGACAUUGAUAAAGUUGAAGAAAGGCUUGAAGGAGUAAGUGUCCAGUGUUGCCUCUACUACUGAGUUUCAGGGCAAUUUUUAAGGCAACAUCUAGGUUACAAACAUGAAAACACGGCAUUCCAGACUCGCCGCCAUCUGAACGUGGCUGACGGUGAAUGCUCAUUUCUAUCAUUUCUCACCAGGGUGAGUAUUGAUUUCAUUUCUCACACUACACCAGUCACUUGACCAAGCUGCAAUCCAAUAUUUAAUGUGUUAGUCACACUGGCUUGUGGGGGCCUGUGGUCUGUAGUCUAUCAUAUGGUGACCUUUAUGGUGACUGGCAUAGCCUUAAUCGUGUUAGAAAACGCUGAUAUAGAGGUAUUCACAUCAUUAUUUCUAGCACUGGCAAAAGGAUUGUUGAAGAAGUAAGGUAUGAGUAGAGUGGCAUUUACUGUUCCCUGUGGACAAGUGGAGUGAUUUGUUGUACAGUUUAAUGCUGGGGUAGCUUUUAAGGACAAGGACAAAACGUUGGCUGCAUAGGCAGCUGAGAGGAGGUAAAUGGUUUCUUUUAGGUGAAGGAGUGCUCAGAACAGAGGCAUCAAGGCUGAAAUUCCUCAUCUUAACUGCUUGCACAGCUUUUCCCAGCAACAUCAUUCCCCUCCAAAAGCACUGUGCAGAGAGUUUGAACCUCAAAAUGAGGGAUAAGCCAGUGACACUUUGAAGUCCAGUAAAAUCUUCAUGUUCUGAAGAUGCUCAGAUACUCUGGGAGCACACAGACAUUAAAAAUGGCCAGGAGAGCCCAGCCCACAGGGAAUUUGCAAUACAAGCAGCUGACCUAUGAGCUGGAAGGUCUUUGCUCCCAUGAGAGGCCCUGAUAGCAGAAACUGUUUUUCAUUGAGACCAGUCUCAUCCCUCAAUGUCCUCUCCCUUUAAGAAAUAAACUAAAGGGAUCAAUAUUGUUCCAUGUUAAUUUUGCCAUUUUCUAGCCUUCCUUGUAAUCUUUGAACUGUUUCCACUUUCCAAACCAUCCUUCCCUUCUAUAAACAUUAUCACCUGUCCAAAACAUUUUGCAGUUAUUGCAUGAGCUGUAUCCUCGUCCUCCAGAAGAGUAAGAAGCUGUGAUUGAUGGUGAGAUCCUCCCCACUGUGAAGGGUUAACCUGAAUUUUAGGUGUUACUCAAGCUCCCAGGCUGACCCUCAGUGAAAAUUAAUAGCUUGUUUCUGUUUAAUAUUCCUUUCCAGUACAUUGUCAAAUCGUUUCAUCUGUGCUGAAAUGGAUCAGUGGUUUUCAUCUUCAGUGUUUCCUCAUUCCUCUUUGGGGUUUUACUAAUUCUUUAUUGUUUAUAGGUAUUUUUAAAAUCAUAGAAGAUUCUUUUGUUCAUUGCUUUUAUUUUUAUUUCAUAAGGAUUUCAUAAAGUUGGAGGUAAAGGACAGACAUCACAUUAACUUAUCAAUGUUAUCUUGCUCCAACUAAAAAGUGGACCACAUCUAUGCCUUUUAUAAGUUAUAUUACAGAUAUGGCAGUGUCAUCAUUUGCAGCUAAUCAAAAUAUGCCAGUUGGGCACAGAUUUUCUAAACACACGUAUCAGUCUUAUUUGUCAUGCAAGUCAUAAAUUUAAACUGAUGCAUCUGUUACAACCAUUGGUGCAGGAGAUGGAAAAGAUCCAUGGGGAGGCUUUCAGCUUUCCAUUUAGUGCUAAAGUGGAACAGAACUCUAUCAGAUGUAUGAUUAUUGCCAUUAUUAUUUAAUAUCCCCCUCUGCCUCCCCCGUGCAUUAGCCACUUAACAGAAAGCACGAGUGCAGCCCUUCUCUCAGACUGCUUGCCAUGCAAGUGACAGACUGGUGUCCAAGGGACAAUAAAGCAUAUUUCAAAGAGGAUGGCCAGGAUCCUCCUGGAAUGGCUGCAUGGUUGCUCAGGAGAGGGAGGCCAGCUGGCUGGUGGACACACAGGGAUUGGGGGGUUGGUGUUGCUGCUGAAGUGUAAAUAUGAUGGUGCAGCCAUGAGUUUUCAAGAAUAGCACGAUGGUGAAUGAAUUCAAGGAGUGAUUGUGAGCACUGAUACUUCAUUAGCACCAAAGACUGACGGAAAGAAAGAAGUAUAAAGAAAUAUACUGCAGAUGCUGAAUAACAGAGGUGAUAAGCUGAUCCAACUGCUGCUGUAAAUCUGGCCCUUAGGCCUGGGUUCAGAUGCUCUGCAAGCUCUGGGCAGUGUCUAAGCUUUGCGUGCCCUCAGGCUUGCAUUAGCCAUGCUUCCAAGCUCCAGAACUUUUUUCUUUCAACAGUGCCCCUGACAACUCCAGCUUGAAGUCUGUUCUUGUGCUGUUUCUGCAGGAUGCACAUGCCUGACUUGGGAAAAAAAUCCUCACUACACUUUGCAGGUCACAGAGUUAACAAGUUUAUAAGAAAACCUUAUGUACAUCAACCUUGGGCAAAGGCAGGGGACAUCCUUUGUGCCUCCAGGUGACCCCUGGAGCCCAGUGAUGGCCACAUCCAUCACCCAGAUGAGCUUUCCUGGGGAAAGCAUGCUUUGAAUUUGUUCAGACCUUAAUGAGUUAUCUACAAACCAUCAAAUAUUUCACAUUCCAUAUGGAUCAUCGGGGUUUCCUAAAUGACACCAUCAGCUAGGGUGGCUGCAAGGAUCGUAAAUAACUCCUUCAGUUUAAUGAGUUACAUGAGGAAAAGCUGCUCCACCAGGUAAUGAGUCACAGCUUCACUUUGUUGUAGAUCAGCUGAGACACUUGAUUUACUGUGAGGGUUACCUGUAUUAAAACUAAUCAGAGACUAUCCAGGAAACCCAAACAGACCCAACCUACCACAAUUUAAUCUCCCCACAAAUAAAACCCACUCAUAAAUCAGAGCCAGCAUGUAAAUGUGUCCCUCUAAUGCUUCUAUUAGGAAACCUAAACCCAAAAAAAGCUCAUAGGAUGUGAAAACUGUGGUAAUGUUGGUGGUAUCAGUCUAAUUCAUAGCACAGAAGGAGAUGUAAGAUACAUUCUGAUGGCUAAAUAAUCAAGAUAGAGAAAACACUUUGAUAGAUAUGUUGAAGUCUCUAUUUUCAUUUUGAAAUGUAAAAUGGA